UCAAGUUCCAACGAACCUUUGUUUAAUAGUACAUGGUAAUACAAUAAUUCUGGAAAGGAAUUCUGCACCUGGGGACUUUCAUGCUGCUAACCAACCUUGAAAUCAAACUGCUAAAUAGGGCUUAGUGCACUGGCAAAUCUUGAAGUCUUUUUUUUUUUUUUUUUAUACCAGUGUUCAGGUUAAUGGUUAAGGGUUGGUAUUUAAAGUAUACUGCAGUUUCUUUUAGUUAAUAAUACAUCAUCCCAUGGGUUCUGAAGAAUCUGUCAAAACAAAUAAUGGCAAACUAGACCAAUGCUUCAUUUGGACUAGAGGGUGCCUUGGACAAAAUGAAUCUGGUUAUCCGUUUCCAAUAGACAGGAGUCAUUAAUUUCCUUAGGAGAGAUCUAUAGAACUGGAAUGCUUGAGUUUCAUAGAUGGUUUUAAAUCUCUUGUUCCAUUUAGAAUUCUUUCUAUUUUACUGGUGUUUCUCACUGUUGCCUGUAGUAACAUCAGGUAUUUCUCAGUUUUUAGAAUGAACUAUUUGUUUCUUUAAACACAGGACCCCACACCUUGGAUUUCACAGUCUAUUGAAAUCAAGGUCAGCUGGAAACUAAUACUCUGCUUCCAUUCAUUUUGUGCCUUGAGACUUCAACCGAAACCACUGAGAGAGGAUAGCCUCAAAUACCAUGCUUGGGUUUCAAUGCCAUGAGAGGUUAGCAAAUGAAGAUGGCCGUCCCUGCUAUCGCUUACAGAAGAUGACCCACAUAGAUGGCUAAGAACUGAAUCAAAUCUAUUCUGACCAAGGGAAAAAUGCAACAAUCCUUAGAAAGACAAGCCAACAAGCUGAGCCUCACUAAUACACAGGGAAAAAUUGAGUACUGGAAUUUAGAGCAAACUACUUUCUUCUAAAGGGUGUGCUUCGGAAAUUGAAGAAAUUAUGCAGUCACCGUUAGAGAAACUCAAGCUCCACGACUCUCAUUAGCCUGUUUUGGAUAAGGGCGCUGCCCUUGAAGAAAUCAUCGAACUCAUUCCAGCGUCUUUGUGCUUUGUGAGAACAUUAGCAUUAUUUUAAGUUCUUACUGUUAUUAGUGUUUCACAAAUGAAUUACGGGGAAAAAAAUCUUUAUUUUUAGCCUUUUGCAAUUACUAAAAUAAGAAAGUGGUUUCCAUUAAAAGUUAUGUGAGAUUUCACAGUGGGUUUCUAUUAGAAUUACACUGAAAUUUCUUGAAGUUGAAGCCAACGGUGUAAAGUUUUAGCCACAUCUGUCUCCAAGAUGAGUUAUUAGGCUGACUUUGAAAUAUGAUAACUCUGUUUUGCUGAGUCACUGUAAUCUAUUGUGGCCCAUUGGCACAUUUUGCUUUGCAUCCUUGAUAUGGGGCCUGGCCACCCCGGGCACUCCGUAAACGCUUCUUGGAUGGAACCAUUCAACACUUUUUAUACUGCUGAGGCAGAGUGAUUUUGUGGACUGUUUUUCUUUCUUUAAAAAAAAAUUUUUUUUUAAUGUUUAUUUAUUUUUGAGAGAGACAGAGCGUGAGCAGGGGAGGAGCAGAGAGGGAGACACAGAAUCUGAAGCAGGUUCCAGGCCCCAAGCUGUCUGCACAGAGCCCAAUGCGGGGCUCGAACUCACAAACCGCGAGAUCAUGACCCGAGCCGAAGUCAAACACUUAACCAACUGAGCCACCCAGGUGUGCCUGUGGACUAUUUUUCAAAACACUUUCAUAAAGAUGAUCGUAUCUCCUGCUUCCUCACUUUUUUUCCCCCAUGACAUUCAAAUUCAAAAAAUGAGUCUUUUGUAUGUAUCAAGAAUCUUACACGUUUAUAUCCUUUGACAUAGCAAUCCAUUUCUCGAAUUUAUACGGAGAAUAGAAUCCAAUCCGAAGCAGAGUGCCAUAUACAAAUAUGAUUACAGCUAUCAUUUACAGUAUCAUUUACAGUAAUAAAAGAUUUGUACUAUCCUUAGGGUCCACUAAGAGAGAAGUAGCCAAGAAAGACUGAAUGUUAAAAAAUGUUUCCAAGACCACAUAAAUAUUAUUUACAGAGUCUAUUUUUAUAAGAAAAACGACUGUAGAAUUGUAAACCCAGUAUCUUUACAUCUCUAUUUUUAAGUAUCCUACACAUAAUAAACACACUAGUGGAAAAUAAGAAAAACAUUAAUGAUCUUGUCAUUAAGUACUGAAACUAUGACUGACAUUUUCCGUUCAAAUUUUCAGAAUUUUGCACAUUUUCUUUCAUUAAGCACACAUCACUUUCAUCAUUGAAAAUCACUGCACAUUUUCUUUUUAACUAAUCACUGUAUACCUUAGCCUUAUUACAGAGAUUACAGAAAGUCCCUCAUCCGUUACAUACUUGGAUCUGAAAUAAUAAAAUUAUGUAUGUUUCUAGAUGAUACAUAAAAUACAUGUAAAUACUUGUGUGUUUGGUUGAGACUCCAACAUUAUUUCAAUUUUAGUUAUUCAGGAAUGGAUACAGACUUCUAAGAUGAGCAUCAUUUUAUGUCCAAGUUUUAAAAGAGCAUCAGGAUUUGCAAAAGAUGAGAUUCAAGGUGUGUCUGUCGAACCAGCAGAGAAAGUAAGAGAGUCGCAGCAGGCCGGCCAGAGCAGCAGUGAGGGGGGAACACUGCUCUUUUGAGUACACCUCCAGCUCUGCGGGGACAUGCACGCCUUGCACCGAAAGAUGAAAAAUUAUUUCAAAAAUACCCUUGUUCGGUGAACAUUUCAACUCAUUUUCAACGGUGAACUUCAGUUAAGAUGCUAAGAGAAAUUAGCUGAAUGUAGUAGAUAUUUGCUUUCCUUCCCCCUCCAUUUGACAUUCUUCUUCUUCUUGGUUAGAGCACAUCGUUUCUCUGGCCACUGUGAUUGCUUCACAGUGGGACUCAAAAAUAUUUUCCUAAGUAUUUUUGAGAAAUGAAACUCGUUUGGGGAGGGAAUAACUGGAGGAGGUGGUUUUUCCUCGUGGUUGUCACGACACAAACGCGGAAGUAUACCGUUGAGUCCAUGAAGGAAGGCAACCUUAGGCUGAACCAGACACAAGAACAGCAAAGGCAAAAGAAACCAGGUCUUUGAUAAUGUCAGUGAAACAGUGGAUCUAGCCUCACCUGAAACCCUCCUGACCACUGGAUUUUUAAG
Molecule: long non-coding RNA, 3104 nt
Organism: Acinonyx jubatus (cheetah)
Lineage: Eukaryota; Metazoa; Chordata; Mammalia; Carnivora; Felidae
Exons: 3
Source: RefSeq, a predicted model, not a curated record